RNAcentral lists this long non-coding RNA (1846 nucleotides) under Anas platyrhynchos platyrhynchos (common mallard). Its description in RNAcentral is "lncRNA (ENSAPLG00000021901.1)". The record is from RNAcentral. Lineage: Eukaryota; Metazoa; Chordata; Aves; Anseriformes; Anatidae.
AUGGAAAACCCUUAUGUCUCUGUAGGAGGAGAAGAUCUGAGCCAGAAGGAUGUCUUUUCUGAGCUGAGAGUAUGGAGAGAACAGCAUAAGCGGUGUCCGCAAACAGGUCAGCAAGACAAGGCUGACCGAGCAGUGAAGAUAACUGUUAGUGAUGAGGAAGAGAAUGAAGCCUUCAGCCUGGCUGCCAGCAGUGAGGAAGAGUUGAGGGAGACUUCUGAUGAGGACCUCAUUGAUUCUUCCUGCCACUCCUGUGUCUCACAGUCGUCUUCAGAUUCAUCACAUGCUCAGGAAGGCACAGCGUCCUCCAGCCUGAGCCAUUGUCUAAUUCCAUCUCCGCCGAAAAGCCCUUCGCCUGCCUCUCUAAGGGGUGUUGCAGCAAGAUGCUGGAAAACGAGGAACCACAGGGUAAGGUGCCUAAAACUGCCCAGCCAAGAGGAGGACAGGCAGUGGACACAGCAAUGCCAGACAAGGGAUAGGAAAGAAACUUCAGCCCAGCCUCUGGGCGAGGAACUUGCUCUCCUGAGCCUGCACAGUGUGCCAGCAGCACAUGAGCCUUCACCCUGCGGAUCUCGAGGAGAGCACCAGCCUGAUGGGAGCACGGGCAGGCAGAGACCUAUUUCAGGACCAGCAGCUGUUGGAUCAACAAGCAUCAGGCCUGUCAUGGACAAGAGUCCCCCCACAGUGAUCAACCAUCACCUGCCAGUUCUUCGCUCAGCAACAAAAGCCUCAAAGAAGUUUGGACCAGCAAAUGCAGUUUGGCCCCCAACUGCUAGGGCCACGCUGCAGAAGUUGCCAGACAGACCUGCUGUCUCGACAACGUCUCGGAGCAAGGGUCCCCAGUCCUAGAAGAUAGCCUGGGUGUGUUGGAGCCAUUUACAGAGCAUGAUCUUCAAUCACUGCGUGCAGUCCUUACACUUGAAGGAUCGAUGCUGUCUUUCAGCUGUUUCUGCAAGCUAAAAGCAGAGCUGUGCAAGUAGAGCAGUUUAAACAAAUGCUAUGAUUUGCCUCAAUUAAGGCUACAGCUGGUCCAGAAGUGCUUUCUUUAAAGAGCACCUGCUGAUCAACAUAAGAGCUAAUCAACCUCUUAUUACAGAAAACAUGGUUAUUUUUGCAGAGUUCAUGCACUAAAACAGAACAAGGCUUAACAUAUUUCCUCUCCUCUGCAUCAUGCCCUGCUCGGUGAGUGAGGCAGUGACACUAAACCAGACAGGGCUUAGAGCCUGCAAUUUCCAGAGUGGGCUGGAGGAGGUGAGGGACAUGGGGCAUUUCCUAUCACACACGCCAGCCUGGCUUAGAAGCAGCCCCAUUGUCCUCAGUAUUUAGGGACAAAGCCAAGGGUUCAAGAGGAAUCCUUGACCUGAGUGUGUUGCAGGGGAGAGACACAAUGCCCACAUCCCCAGGACAGGAAGAGCCCGAGAAGGCCGGGUGGUUUCAGAGCUUAGCCCAUUCGGUCUCCUUGCAUUGCUGUGGAACCAAAUGCUGAAGAAGUGACUCGUUGCUCUGUUAACAUGUUUAUUUGCUCCACAGCUGCCUGGAAGGACUUCUCUCAUUUACUGUGGAUAGGCAUUGCACACCAGAAUCUCAUAAGUGGUGCUGACCUCUGCGAGCAGGCUGCGCCAUGUCAGAGCCUCCUCUGUGUGCACUCAGGUGUCUCACCUCCAGUUCUUCAGGUCAAAUAGCCUUUCCGAUUCCAUAUGACCGAGUAAUUUUAAAUAAUGCAGCAGCAAAGAUGAGGCAGGAGAGUAAGGAAAUGAUCUCUUGUUUUUCAAUAGGGCAUUUACUUUAUAUUUGGGUGAGAUUCAGAACAGCUGUUUUAGUGGCUGCAGACUGAAAUGCUGAUCCAAAU